RNAcentral lists this ribosomal RNA (253 nucleotides) under uncultured bacterium. Its description in RNAcentral is "partial 16S ribosomal RNA". It matches the Rfam family "Bacterial small subunit ribosomal RNA", at positions 524 to 776 of the family's 1533-position model. The record is from RNAcentral.
UACGGAGGGUGCAAGCGUUAUCCGGAUUCACUGGGUUUAAAGGGUGCGUAGGCGGGUUGGUAAGUCCGUGGUGAAAUCUCCGAGCUUAACUCGGAAACUGCCGUGGAUACUAUCAAUCUUGAAUAUCGUGGAGGUAAGCGGAAUAUGUCAUGUAGCGGUGAAAUGUUUAGAUAUGACAUAGAACACCAAUUGCGUAGGCAGCUUACUACACGAUCAUUGACGCUGAGGCACGAAAGCGUGGGGAGCAAACAGG